GGGAAUUUUCCGCAAUGGGCGAAAGCCUGACGGAGCAAUACCGCGUGGGGGAUGAAGGCUCUUGGGUUGUAAACCUCUUUUCUCAGGGAAGAAAAAAAUGACGGUACCUGAGGAAUAAGCAUCGGCUAACUCCGUGCCAGCAGCCGCGGUAAUACGGAGGAUGCAAGCGUUAUCCGGAAUGAUUGGGCGUAAAGCGUCUGUAGGUGGUUUGGCAAGUCUGCCGUUAAAGGUCGGGGCUUAACUCCGAAAAGGCGGUGGAAACUGCCAGACUAGAGUGUGGUAGGGGUAGAGGGAAUUCCCGGUGUAGCGGUGAAAUGCGUAGAUAUCGGGAAGAACACCGGUGGCGAAGGCGCUCUACUGGGCCACAACUGACACUGAGGGACGAAAGCUAGGGGAGCGAAAGGGAUUAGAUACCCCUGUAGUCCUAGCUGUAAACGAUGGAUACUAGGUGUUGCCUGUAUCGACCCGGGCAGUGCCGUAGCUAACGCGUUAAGUAUCCCGCCUGGGGAGUACGCACGCAAGUGUGAAACUCAAAGGAAUUGACGGGGGCCCGCACAAGCGGUGGAGUAUGUGGUUUAAUUCGAUGCAACGCGAAGAACCUUACCAGGGCUUGACAUGUCCGGAACCUCUGGGAAACUAGGGGGUGCCUUCGGGAGCCGGAACACAGGUGGUGCAUGGCUGUCGUCAGCUCGUGUCGUGAGAUGUUGGGUUAAGUCCCGCAACGAGCGCAACCCUCGUUUGAAGUUGCCAGCAUUAAGUUGGGCACUCUGAAGAGACUGCCGGUGACAAACCGGAGGAAGGUGGGGAUGACGUCAAGUCAGCAUGCCCCUUACGUCCUGGGCUACACACGUACUACAAUGCUACGGACAAAGGGCAGCAACUCCGCGAGGGGAAGCAAAUCCCAGAAACCGUGGCUCAGUUCAGAUUGCAGGCUGCAACUCGCCUGCAUGAAGGUGGAAUCGCUAGUAAUCGCCGGUCAGCAUACGGCGGUGAAUACGUUCCCGGGCCUUGUACACACCGCCCGUCACACCAUGGAAGCUGGUAAAGCCCGAAGUCGUUACCCUAACCCGAAAGGGAGGGGGAUGCCGAAGGCAGUGCUGGUGACUGGGGUGAAGUCGUAACAAGGUAGCCGUACCGGAAGGUGUGGCUGGAUCACCUCCUUAAAGGGAGACCUGCUUAAUCUAGACCGACCCAAAGUAAAAGAGGUCAGAUGUAAGGCAUCCCAGGUCGUGCGAGGAAAAAACUGGUUGCUAAGGCUUUCAAACUCUGUUUCGGUUCGGGACGUGGCGUUAGAAACCGCGUCUAGACAAACAAACUCCACCGACGUGGAAUAAAUAGAGACCUCACGACAAAAUAGGAAAAAAUGUCAGAAAAAAGUUAGUAAAAAGCUUGACAUCGGAAAAAAGGUCGUGAUAGACUAGAAAAGGUGGGAAAAAGAAGCUAGCAACUGAAAAGGGAGAUUGCCCAUCAGCCUGCUGGACUCUAAACCAGCCAGAACCUUGAAAACUGCAUAGUAACAUAUCAGCAGAGUAGUCAGUAAGAAGUAAGCGUUAGGAAUGACGUGUAAUAUCUUGCAGACUGUUUUGAAUGUGGUCAAGCUACAAAGGGCUUACGGUGGAUACCUAGGCACACAGAG
Molecule: small RNA, 1636 nt
Filed under: Cyanothece aeruginosa SAG 87.79
Lineage: Bacteria; Bacillati; Cyanobacteriota; Cyanophyceae; Gomontiellales; Cyanothecaceae
Description: bacterial SSU rRNA
Rfam family: Bacterial small subunit ribosomal RNA (bases 1-1163)
Source: RNAcentral